GAUCGUGUGGCCUAACGGAUAAGGCGUCGGACAUAGGAUCCGAAGAUUGCAGGUUCGAGUCCUGCCACGGUCG
This 73-nucleotide transfer RNA is filed under the name Blattella germanica (German cockroach). RNAcentral describes it as "tRNA-Leu (TAG) (tRNA-Leu-TAG-18-1)". It matches the Rfam family "tRNA". Rfam says of the family: Transfer RNA (tRNA) molecules are approximately 80 nucleotides in length. Lineage: Eukaryota; Metazoa; Arthropoda; Insecta; Blattodea; Blattellidae. The record is from RNAcentral.